AAAUUGAAGAGUUUGAUCAUGGCUCAGAUUGAACGCUGGCGGCAGGCCUAACACAUGCAAGUCGAACGGUAACAGGAAGCAGCUUGCUGCUUCGCUGACGAGUGGCGGACGGGUGAGUAAUGUCUGGGAAACUGCCUGAUGGAGGGGGAUAACUACUGGAAACGGUAGCUAAUACCGCAUAAUGUCGCAAGACCAAAGAGGGGGACCUUCGGGCCUCUUGCCAUCGGAUGUGCCUAGGUGGGAUUAGCUUGUUGGUGGGGUAACGGCUCACC
RNAcentral lists this ribosomal RNA (272 nucleotides) under Escherichia coli. Its description in RNAcentral is "partial 16S ribosomal RNA". It matches the Rfam family "Bacterial small subunit ribosomal RNA", at positions 1 to 269 of the family's 1533-position model. The record is from RNAcentral. Lineage: Bacteria; Pseudomonadati; Pseudomonadota; Gammaproteobacteria; Enterobacterales; Enterobacteriaceae.